GAUGAACGCUGGCGGCGUGCCUAAUACAUGCAAGUCGAGCGAACAGACGAGGAGCUUGCUCCUCUGACGUUAGCGGCGGACGGGUGAGUAACACGUGGAUAACCUACCUAUAAGACUGGGAUAACUUCGGGAAACCGGAGCUAAUACCGGAUAAUAUAUUGAACCGCAUGGUUCAAUAGUGAAAGACGGUUUUGCUGUCACUUAUAGAUGGAUCCGCGCCGCAUUAGCUAGUUGGUAAGGUAACGGCUUACCAAGGCAACGAUGCGUAGCCGACCUGAGAGGGUGAUCCGCCACACUGGAACUGAGACACGGUCCAGACUCCUACGGGAGGCAGCAGUAGGGAAUCUUCCGCAAUGGGCGAAAGCCUGACGGAGCAACGGCGCGUGAGUGAUGGAGGUCUUCGGAUCGUAAAACUCUGUUAUUAGGGAAGAACAAAUGUGUAAGUAACUAUGCACGUCUUGACGGUACCUAAUCAGAAAGCCACGGCUAACUACGUG
This 497-nucleotide ribosomal RNA is filed under the name uncultured bacterium. Its description in RNAcentral is "partial 16S ribosomal RNA". It matches the Rfam family "Bacterial small subunit ribosomal RNA", at positions 28 to 507 of the family's 1533-position model. The record is from RNAcentral.